AAAGGUAGCAUAAUCAUUAGUCUUUUAAUUGAGGACUGGUAUGAAAGGUUUGACGGGAGUUGGCUGUCUCAGACUUAAAGUUAUGAAUUUUAUUUUUAAGGAAAAGAGCUUAAAUGAUAUAAAGGGACGAGAAGACCCUAUUAAAUUUUAUUAUUAUUAAAUAAAAUUUUGUUUGGAUAAAAUUUUUAUUUUAAAAAUAAUUUUGCUGGGGCGGUAAAUAAUUAACUUUAUUGUUUCUUUUAAUAAUUUAAUUAGCCUUGUGAUGACCCACUAAGGGUGAUAUUAAAACUAAAUUACUAUAGGGAUAACAGCGUAUUGUUUUUUGAGAGUUCAUAUUGACAAAAAUGUUUGCAACCUCGAUGUUGAAUUAAGGAGUCUUAUUGGUGCAGUAUUUAAAAAAAAGGGUCUGUUCAACCCUUA
Molecule: ribosomal RNA, 420 nt
Filed under: Bicoxidens friendi
Lineage: Eukaryota; Metazoa; Arthropoda; Diplopoda; Spirostreptida; Spirostreptidae
Description: partial 16S ribosomal RNA
Rfam family: Bacterial large subunit ribosomal RNA
Source: RNAcentral